RNAcentral lists this ribosomal RNA (369 nucleotides) under Triticum aestivum (bread wheat). RNAcentral's name for it is "partial small subunit ribosomal RNA". The record is from RNAcentral. Lineage: Eukaryota; Viridiplantae; Streptophyta; Magnoliopsida; Poales; Poaceae.
GGGCCCGGCGGCUAGAAGGAGCGGAGCCAGUCCGAGUCAGGCAGGUUGAGCGGCGGCAGCGAGUGGCGGCCGCGCGUGGAGCUGCCGCUGCGCACGUCCUGCAUGGCCAGGAGCGCCGACACGGUGUUGCGGAAGAUCCUCUGCUCCGCGGCGACCAGGGCCUCGCGGUCCCGCCGCGCCGCCGCCUGCCCCUCGCCGGGCGCCGUGGGGAACACCGCCUCCAUCAUGGCCUCGCACUCCCUCACCAUCAGGGACACCGCCUCCGCCGUGAAGAAGGGCUGCACUAGCACGGUCUCGAUGACGGCGAGCCGGAUCCCGGCGCCCGUGCGCUUGUCAUACUUCUUGAGGAUCUUGGCCAGGCCGAUGUAG